UACGAAGGGUGCAAGCGUUACUCGGAAUUACUGGGCGUAAAGCGUGCGUAGGUGGUUUGUUAAGUCCGAUGUGAAAGCCCUGGGCUCAACCUGGGAACUGCAUUGGAUACUGGCAGGCUAGAGUGCGGUAGAGGGGUGCGGAAUUCCCGGUGUAGCAGUGAAAUGCGUAGAUAUCGGGAGGAACAUCCGUGGCGAAGGCGGCACCCUGGACCAGCACUGACACUGAGGCACGAAAGCGUGGGGAGCAAACAGGAUUAGAAACCCCAGUAGUCC
Molecule: ribosomal RNA, 273 nt
Filed under: uncultured bacterium
Lineage: Bacteria
Description: partial 16S ribosomal RNA
Rfam family: Bacterial small subunit ribosomal RNA
Source: RNAcentral